This 240-nucleotide unclassified non-coding RNA is filed under the name soil metagenome. RNAcentral's name for it is "partial contains 5.8S ribosomal RNA, internal transcribed spacer 2, and large subunit ribosomal RNA". The record is from RNAcentral.
AACGGUCUAUACCUGCGGUACCUGCGGAAGGAUCAUUACCGAGUUAUACAACUCCCAAACCCACUGUGAACCUUACCUCAGUUGCCUCGGCGGGAACGCCCCGGCCGCCUGCCCCCGCGCCGGCGCCGGACCCAGGCGCCCGCCGCAGGGACCCCAAACUCUCUUGCAUUACGCCCAGCGGGCGGAAUUUCUUCUCUGAGUUGCACAAGCAAAAACAAAUGAAUCAAAACUUUCAACAAU